UUCAGGAGGGGGUCGCGUCAGAUUAGUUAGUUGGCGGUGUAAUGGCCCACCAAGACAGUGUUCGGUAUCUGGCAGGAGAGGGCGCACGGACACACCGGAACUGAAACCCAGUCCAGACUCCUACGGGACACAGCAGUGGGGAAUUUUGCGCAAUGGGGGAAAACCCGACGCAGCAACGCCGCGUGGAGGAUGAAAUCCCUUGGGAUGUAAACUCCUCUCGAUCGGGACGAAUAUGACGGUACCGGAAGAAGAAGCCCCGGCUAACUUCGUGCCAGCAGCCGCGGUAAUACGAGGGGGGCAAGCGUUGUUCGGAAUUAUUGGGCGUAAAGAGAUCGUAGGCGGUUUUGUAAGUCGUAUGUGAAAUCUUCGGGCUCAACUCGAAGUCUGCACACGAAACUGCCGGGCUUGAGUAUGGGAGAGGAGAUCGGAAUUCCUGGUGUAGCGGUGAAAUGCGUAGAUAUCAGGAGGAACACCUGUGGCGAAAGCGGCUUCAUCUGGACCAUUACUGACG
Molecule: ribosomal RNA, 511 nt
Filed under: Acidicapsa sp.
Lineage: Bacteria; Pseudomonadati; Acidobacteriota; Terriglobia; Terriglobales; Acidobacteriaceae
Description: bacterial SSU rRNA
Rfam family: Bacterial small subunit ribosomal RNA
Source: RNAcentral